RNAcentral lists this ribosomal RNA (411 nucleotides) under Roseibium denhamense. RNAcentral describes it as "bacterial SSU rRNA". It matches the Rfam family "Bacterial small subunit ribosomal RNA", at positions 368 to 798 of the family's 1533-position model. The record is from RNAcentral. Lineage: Bacteria; Pseudomonadati; Pseudomonadota; Alphaproteobacteria; Hyphomicrobiales; Stappiaceae.
GUUAUGGGCGCAGCCUGAUCAGCCAUGCCGCGUGAGUGAUGAAGGCCCUAGGGUUGUAAAGCUCUUUCAGCGAGGAGGAUAAUGACGUUACUCGCAGAAGAAGCCCCGGCUAACUUCGUGCCAGCAGCCGCGGUAAUACGAAGGGGGCUAGCGUUGUUCGGAAUCACUGGGCGUAAAGCGCACGUAGGCGGACUGAUCAGUCAGGGGUGAAAUCCCGGGGCUCAACCCCGGAACUGCCUUUGAUACUGUCAGUCUUGAGUCCGAGAGAGGUGAGUGGAACUCCGAGUGUAGAGGUGAAAUUCGUAGAUAUUCGGAAGAACACCAGUGGCGAAGGCGGCUCACUGGCUCGGUACUGACGCUGAGGUGCGAAAGCGUGGGGAGCAAACAGGAUUAGAUACCCCGGUAGUCCAA